Molecule: ribosomal RNA, 433 nt
Filed under: uncultured bacterium
Lineage: Bacteria
Description: partial 16S ribosomal RNA
Rfam family: Bacterial small subunit ribosomal RNA
Source: RNAcentral
AGCGAACGCUGGCGGCAGGCCUAACACAUGCAAGUCGAACGAACUCUUCGGAGUUAGUGGCGGACGGGUGAGUAACACGUGGGAACGUGCCUUUAGGUUCGGAAUAACUCAGGGAAACUUGUGCUAAUACCGAAUGUGCCCUUCGGGGGAAAGAUUUAUCGCCUUUAGAGCGGCCCGCGUCUGAUUAGCUAGUUGGUGAGGUAAAGGCUCACCAAGGCGACGAUCAGUAGCUGGUCCGAGAGGAUGAUCAGCCACAUUGGGACUGAGACACGGCCCAAACUCCUACGGGAGGCAGCAGUGGGGAAUCUUGCGCAAUGGGCGAAAGCCUGACGCAGCCAUGCCGCGUGAAUGAUGAAGGUCUUAGGAUUGUAAAAUUCUUUCACCGGGGACGAUAAUGACGGUACCCGGAGAAGAAGCCCCGGCUAACUUCGUG